AAGUUGAGCUUGAACCAAGCAGCAAAGACAGAAAUGGAAUGAGGAUCAGAAACAUCAAGGAGUGAGAAAUGGAUGAAAUCAGAAAGGCCAUGGCUCCUCAGCAACUCCAUAGCUUCCAACCCUUUCUUGGCAUCUCUUGCUUAUUCCUAAUUCUCUACCAGGGAUGCCUCUUGAGAAGGUUAUUUAUGUAUGUUUGCAUAUGGCUAGUGGGCUAAUAGCUUCUUAUAUCAAGAUGAAGGGUGGCGCUGAAUAUAUGCAACGUGUGUGUAUGCACAAGACUUCUAAAUAUUAUUAAUGUAUCAUUAUUUUAUCUUGUCAUCAAAAGAAUAUCUUGAAUAACAUUUAUAUAUUAUGGAUCUUCUAA
Beta vulgaris subsp. vulgaris (sugar beet) is the source of this 364-nucleotide long non-coding RNA. RefSeq lists it as uncharacterized. The transcript is spliced from 2 exons. The record is from RefSeq and is a predicted model, not a curated record. NCBI's taxonomy places the organism in Eukaryota, Viridiplantae, Streptophyta, Magnoliopsida, Caryophyllales, Amaranthaceae.